This 378-nucleotide transfer-messenger RNA is filed under the name Bradyrhizobium lablabi. Its description in RNAcentral is "Alphaproteobacteria transfer-messenger RNA". It matches the Rfam family "Alphaproteobacteria transfer-messenger RNA". Rfam says of the family: Bacterial tmRNA, also known as 10Sa RNA or SsrA, is named for its dual tRNA and mRNA-like properties. Its role is to liberate the mRNA from a stalled ribosome. To accomplish this part of the tmRNA is used as a reading frame that ends in a translation stop signal. Lineage: Bacteria; Pseudomonadati; Pseudomonadota; Alphaproteobacteria; Hyphomicrobiales; Nitrobacteraceae. The record is from RNAcentral.
GCUCUGUUUUUGUCAACUAUUGCCCCCUAUAUUGGGGGUGCCGGUUCGCCGGCUAUGGAAAUAAAUUGCCGCCGCAAUAAACCAUUCGGACCCGGGGGCAGCACCCGGCGCCUCCACCCAAGCCCGCCGCAAAUGGCAUCGCCUUAAACGAAACGGCGCGGGCUUCGGCGGGGGCGAAACAGGAUCGACGAGGGCGUAAAGGGCGUGUUUUUUCUCGGUAUUGUUCCGCCGUUAUCGGGCUAUGCAAUAGUUGCAAACGACAACUAUGCUCCGGUUGCUCAGGCCGCGUAAGCGGUUUGAAAAACCAAGUCUAAAGUCCUAGUGGGUUAAGCUCCGCUAGGCGGGGUUCGGAGGCACCUGGCAACAGAAGCCUCCACU